RNAcentral lists this signal recognition particle RNA (148 nucleotides) under Homo sapiens (human). RNAcentral describes it as "Metazoan signal recognition particle RNA". It matches the Rfam family "Metazoan signal recognition particle RNA". From Rfam's summary of the family: The signal recognition particle (SRP) is a universally conserved ribonucleoprotein. It is involved in the co-translational targeting of proteins to membranes. The record is from Rfam by way of RNAcentral. Lineage: Eukaryota; Metazoa; Chordata; Mammalia; Primates; Hominidae.
GCUGGGCGUGGUGGCGCAUGCCUGUAAUCCCAGCUACUGGGGAAGCUGAGGCAGGAGAAUCGCUUGAAGCCAGGAGGCGGAGGUUGCAGUGAGCUGAGAUAGCACCACUGCACUGCAGCCUGGGUGACAGAGCGAGACUCUGUCUCAA